GAUGAACGCUAGCGGCAGGCUUAACACAUGCAAGUCGAGGGGUAACAUAGAAAAGCUUGCUUUUCUGAUGACGACCGGCGCACGGGUGCGUAACGCGUAUACAACCUACCUUUUAGCGGGGAAUAGCCCAGGGAAACUUGGAUUAAUGCCCCAUAGUAUAUAGACUUCUCCUGAAGUUUAUAUUAAACAUUUAUGGCUAUUAGAUGGGUAUGCGUCCUAUUAGUUAGUUGGUAAGGUAACGGCUUACCAAGGCAGCGAUAGGUAGGGGUCCUGAGAGGGAGAUCCCCACACUGGUACUGAGACACGGACCAGACUCCUACGGGAGGCAGCAGUGAGGAAUAUUGGACAAUGGGUGAGAGCCUGAUCCAGCCAUGCCGCGUGCAGGAAGACUGCCCUAUGGGUUGUAAACUGCUUUUACAGAGGAAGAACCACCCCCACGUGUGGGGGUUUGACGGUACUCUGCGAAUAAGGAUCGGCUAACUCCGUG
Molecule: ribosomal RNA, 487 nt
Filed under: uncultured bacterium
Lineage: Bacteria
Description: bacterial SSU rRNA
Rfam family: Bacterial small subunit ribosomal RNA
Source: RNAcentral